This 497-nucleotide ribosomal RNA is filed under the name uncultured bacterium. RNAcentral describes it as "partial 16S ribosomal RNA". It matches the Rfam family "Bacterial small subunit ribosomal RNA", at positions 28 to 507 of the family's 1533-position model. The record is from RNAcentral.
GAUGAACGCUGGCGGCGUGCCUAAUACAUGCAAGUCGAGCGGACGGACGCGACGCUUGCUUCUCUGAUGUUAGCGGAGGACGGGUGAGUCACACGUGGAUAAUCUACUUAUAAGACUGGGAUAACUACGGGACACCGGAGAUAAUACCGGAUAAUCUUCUGAACCGCAGGGUUGAAAAGUGAAAGACGGUCUUGCUGUCAGUACUCGCUGGAUCCGCGCUGGAUUAGCUAGUUGGUAAGGUCACGGCUUUCGAAGGCAAGGAGGCCUAGACGAACUGAGAGGGUGAUCGGCCACACUGGAGCUUAAGCACGGUCCAGGGUCCUACAGGACGCAGCAGUAGCGAAUCGUCCGCAAUGGGCGGAAGCCUGACGCAGCAACGCCGAGUGAGUUAUGGAGGUCUUCGGAUCGUAAUACUCGGUUAUGAGUGAAGAACAGAUUUGUAAGGAACUGUGCACUGCGUGACGGUACCGAAUCAAAAAGCCACGGCUAACUACGUG